This 254-nucleotide ribosomal RNA is filed under the name uncultured bacterium. RNAcentral describes it as "partial 16S ribosomal RNA". It matches the Rfam family "Bacterial small subunit ribosomal RNA", at positions 524 to 776 of the family's 1533-position model. The record is from RNAcentral.
UACGGGGGGAGCAAGCGUUGUUCGGAUUUACUGGGCGUAAAGGGCGCGUAGGCGGCCAGCACAAGUCAGUUGUGAAAUCUCCGAGCUUAACUCGGAAAGGUCAACUGAUACUGUGCGGCUAGAGUGCGGAAGGGGCAACUGGAAUUCUUGGUGUAGCGGUGAAAUGCGUAGAUAUCAAGAGGAACACCUGCGGCGAAGGCGGGUUGCUGGGCCGACACUGACGCUGAGGCGCGAAAGCCAGGGGAGCGUACGGG